GAUGAACGCUGGCGGCGUGCCUAAUACAUGCAAGUCGAGCGAACAGACGAGGAGCUUGCUCCUCUGACGUUAGCGGCGGACGGGUGAGUAACACGUGGAUAACCUACCUAUAAGACUGGGAUAACUUCGGGAAACCGGAGCUAAUACCGGAUAAUAUAUUGAACCGCAUGGUUCAAUAGUGAAAGACGGUUUUGCUGUCACUUAUAGAUGGAUCCGCGCCGCAUUAGCUAGUUGGUAAGGUAACGGCUUACCAAGGCAACGAUGCGUAGCCGACCUGAGAGGGUGAUCGGCAACAUGGGAACUGGGACACGGUCCAGACUCCUACGGGAGGCAGCAGUAGGGAAUCUUCCGCAAUGGGCGAAAGCCUGACGGAGCAACGCCGCGUGAGUGAUGAAGGUCUUCGGAUCGUAAAACUCUGUUAUUAGGGAAGAACAAAUGUGUAAGUAACUAUGCACGUCUUGACGGUACCUAAUCAGAAAGCCACGGCUAACUACGUG
RNAcentral lists this ribosomal RNA (497 nucleotides) under uncultured bacterium. RNAcentral describes it as "partial 16S ribosomal RNA". It matches the Rfam family "Bacterial small subunit ribosomal RNA", at positions 28 to 507 of the family's 1533-position model. The record is from RNAcentral.